Molecule: ribosomal RNA, 491 nt
Filed under: uncultured bacterium
Lineage: Bacteria
Description: partial 16S ribosomal RNA
Rfam family: Bacterial small subunit ribosomal RNA
Source: RNAcentral
GUGAACGCUGGCGGUAGGCCUAACACAUGCAAGUCGAACGGCAGCACAGUAAGAGCUUGCUCUUACGGGUGGCGAGUGGCGGACGGGUGAGGAAUACAUCGGAAUCUACUUUUUCGUGGGGGAUAACGUAGGGAAACUUACGCUAAUACCGCAUACGACCUACGGGUGAAAGCAGGGGAUCUUCGGACCUUGCGCGAUUGAAUGAGCCGAUGUCGGAUUAGCUAGUUGGCGGGGUAAAGGCCCACCAAGGCGACGAUCCGUAGCUGGUCGGAGAGGAGGAUCAGCCACACUGGAACUGAGACACGGUCCAGAGUCCUACGGGAGGCAGCAGUGGGGAAUAUUGGACAAUGGGCGCAAGCCUGAUCCAGCCAUACCGCGUGGGUGAAGAAGGCCUUCGGGUUGUAAAGCCCUUUUGUUGGGAAAGAAAAGCAGCAGGUUAAUACCCCGCUGUUCUGACGGUACCCAAAGAAUAAGCACCGGCUAACUUCGUG